Molecule: ribosomal RNA, 448 nt
Filed under: uncultured bacterium
Lineage: Bacteria
Description: partial 16S ribosomal RNA
Rfam family: Bacterial small subunit ribosomal RNA
Source: RNAcentral
CCUACGGGUGGCUGCAGUGGGGAAUUUUGGACAAUGGGGGCAACCCUGAUCCAGCCAUUCCGCGUGAGUGAAGAAGGCCUUCGGGUUGUAAAGCUCUUUCGGCCGGGAAGAAAUCGCAUCUCCUAAUACGGGGUGUGGAUGACGGUACCGGAAGAAGAAGCACCGGCUAACUACGUGCCAGCAGCCGCGGUAAUACGUAGGGUGCGAGCGGCAAUCGGAAUUACUGGGCGUAACGCGUAGACAGGUGGCAAAUCCCCGGGCUUAACCUGGGAACGGCGUUUGUGACUGGGGGGCGUGAGUGCGGCAGAGGGGGGUGGAAUUCCACGUGUAGCAGUGAAAUGCGUAGAGAUGUGGAGGAACACCGAUGGCGAAGGCAGCCCCCUGGGUCGACACUGACGCUCAUGCACGAAAGCGUGGGGAGCAAACAGGAUUAGAUACCCUGGUAGUC